Molecule: ribosomal RNA, 802 nt
Filed under: uncultured bacterium
Lineage: Bacteria
Description: bacterial SSU rRNA
Rfam family: Bacterial small subunit ribosomal RNA
Source: RNAcentral
CGGCAGCUUAACAUGCAAGUCGAACGGCAGCAUGGAGGAGCUUGCUCCUCUGAUGGCGAGUGGCGAACGGGUGAGUAAAGCAUCGGAACGUACCGUGUAGUGGGGGAUAACGUAGCGAAAGUUACGCUAAUACCGCAUACGCGCUGAGGUGGAAAGCGGGGGAUCGUAAGACCUCGCGCUAUACGAGCGGCCGAUGUCAGAUUAGCUAGUUGGUAGGGUAAAGGCCUACCAAGGCGACGAUCUGUAGCGGGUCUGAGAGGAUGAUCCGCCACACUGGGACUGAGACACGGCCCAGACUCCUACGGGAGGCAGCAGUGGGGAAUUUUGGACAAUGGGGGCAACCCUGAUCCAGCCAUGCCGCGUGAGUGAAGAAGGCCUUCGGGUUGUAAAGCUCUUUCGGCUGGGAAGAAAUCGCACAGGCCAAUACCCUGUGUGGAUGACGGUACCAGCAUAAGAAGCACCGGCUAACUACGUGCCAGCAGCCGCGGUAAUACGUAGGGUGCGAGCGUUAAUCGGAAUUACUGGGCGUAAAGCGUGCGCAGGCGGUUAGAUAAGUUUGAUGUGAAAUCCCCGGGCUCAACCUGGGAACUGCAUUGAAGACUGUCUGACUAGAGUACGGCAGAGGGGGGUGGAAUUCCACGUGUAGCAGUGAAAUGCGUAGAGAUGUGGAGGAACACCGAUGGCGAAGGCAGCCCCCUGGGUCGAUACUGACGCUCAUGCACGAAAGCGUGGGGAGCAAACAGGAUUAGAUACCCUGAUAGUCCACGCCCUAAACGAUGUCAACUAGUUGUUGGUAGGUUUA